This 134-nucleotide small nucleolar RNA is filed under the name Catagonus wagneri (Chacoan peccary). Its description in RNAcentral is "Small nucleolar RNA SNORA31 (ENSCWAG00000015554.1)". It matches the Rfam family "Small nucleolar RNA SNORA31". From Rfam's summary of the family: ACA31 (SNORA31) belongs to the H/ACA class of snoRNAs which are thought to guide the sites of modification of uridines to pseudouridines. ACA31 is predicted to guide the pseudouridylation of U3713 in 28S rRNA and U218 in 18S rRNA. Lineage: Eukaryota; Metazoa; Chordata; Mammalia; Artiodactyla; Tayassuidae. The record is from Rfam by way of RNAcentral.
AUGCAUCUAUUUGACAGGCCUGGAGCAGUCACUGUCUACUGCUCAGGUUUCCAUUACAGAUGCGAGAAGAAAGCAUCCUCACGCUUUCUGUCCGUCUGAUUGAGGCAGCCCAGACUGAAUGGGGGAAUACCAGG